This is a small nucleolar RNA of Chelonoidis abingdonii (Abingdon island giant tortoise), 77 nucleotides long. The record is from Ensembl. Lineage: Eukaryota; Metazoa; Chordata; Testudines; Testudinidae.
CUCCUGUGAUGACAUCCGCUAUGAGCCAUCGUGUCUGGGCCACUGACGCUCUGUGAUGGAACUGAGGAUCUGAGCAG